GUGCUCACUUCAGCAGUACAUAUACUAAAAUUGAAACAAUACAGAGAAGACUAGGAUGGCCCCUGCACAAGGAUGACAUCCAAAUUAGUGAAGCAUUCCAUAUUUUU
Eptesicus fuscus (big brown bat) is the source of this 107-nucleotide small nuclear RNA. Lineage: Eukaryota; Metazoa; Chordata; Mammalia; Chiroptera; Vespertilionidae. The record is from RefSeq and is a predicted model, not a curated record.